AUGGAAUGGAGCUGGAUCAUCCUCUUGCUGGUGGGAGUAGUUACAGGUGUCUACUCACAGGUCCAGCUGCAACAGUCUGGAGCUGAGCUGGUGAGGCCUGGGGCCUCAGUGAAGUUGUCCUGCAAGGCUUCUGGCUACACCUUCACCAGCUACUAUAUUACCUGGGUGAAGCAGAGGCCUGGACAGAGCCUGGAGUGGAUUGGAUGGAUUUAUGCUGGAAGUGGUAGUACUAACUACAAUCAGAAGUUCCAGGGCAAGGCCACACUGACUGCAGACACAUCCUCCAGCACAGCCUACAUGGAGCUCAGCAGCCUGACCUCUGAGGACUCUGCGGUCUAUUACUGUGCAAGAGACACACUGCAUGUCAUCCUGUGGAGUCCCCAGGGUGUGGAGUAUGCAAACUUUGGCAACAUUUUGGGUUUGGGGCCAGAGCAGUGGGAUUCAAAACUGGGAAUGUAA
This is a non-coding RNA of Peromyscus eremicus (cactus mouse), 459 nucleotides long. NCBI's taxonomy places the organism in Eukaryota, Metazoa, Chordata, Mammalia, Rodentia, Cricetidae. The record is from the annotation of a RefSeq genome assembly.